Molecule: ribosomal RNA, 1500 nt
Filed under: Triticum aestivum (bread wheat)
Lineage: Eukaryota; Viridiplantae; Streptophyta; Magnoliopsida; Poales; Poaceae
Description: partial small subunit ribosomal RNA
Source: RNAcentral
AUGGUGACCGUGGUUGUGCUUGUGCCCUGGCUAGCAUGGCUCGUUGUGUCUCUCCUCUCCUUCUAUCUCCUCAACCUCCUCGCCCACGCGCGUUCCGGCCUCCCGCCGGGCCCCCGCCCACUGCCGCUCAUCGGCAGCCUCCACCUCCUCGGCGACAAGCCGCACCGCUCGCUCGCCCGCCUAGCCAAGAUCCACGGCCCGCUCAUGUCAAUCCGCCUCGGCGCGGUCACCACUGUGGUCGUGUCCUCACCCGCCAUGGCCCGGGAGUUCCUGCAGAAGCAUGACUCUGUGCUCGCCACCCGGUCCGUGCCAGACGCCACCGGCAAGCACGCGGCGGGCUCCGUUCCCUGGCUGCCCCCGGCGCCCAAGUGGCGCGCGCUCCGCAAGAUGAUGGCCACGGAGCUCUUCGCGCCGCACCGGCUCGACGCGCUCCACCACCUCCGGAGCGACAAGGUGAGGGAGCUCACGGACCACGUCGCGCGGCUGGCGCGCGAGGGCACGGCGGUGAACAUCGGACGCGUGGCCUUCACGACGAGCCUGAACCUUAUCUCCCGCACCAUCUUCUCCAUCGACCUCACCAGCCUCGACGACAUGAGCAGUUCCAAGGAGUUCCAGGAAGUGAUCACGGCCAUCAUGGAAGGUCUGGGGACCCCGAACUUGUCGGAUUUCUUCCCGGUGCUCGCGCCGGCCGACCUGCAGGGCAUGCGCCGGCGGCUGGCGCGGCUCUUCGCGCGGCUGCACGCCGUGUUCGACGCCGAGGUGGACCAGAGGCUGCACGGCCGCGACGCCGGCCAGCCCAGGAAGAACGACUUCCUCGACGUGCUGCUCGAUGUGGCGGCGCGUGAGGAUGGCAAGGACCUGCUCGACCGUGAGACACUGCGCUCACACUUUACGGACUUGUUUGCUGCCGGUAGUGACACAAGCUCUAGCACAGUGGAAUGGGCAAUGACAGAGCUUCUCCAAAACCCAUCAUCAAUGGCUAUGGUUUGCGACGAGCUCGCACAAGUUAUCGGCUCAAGAAGAAACAUUGAAGAAGCUGAUAUUUCUCGUUUGCCCUAUCUCCAAGCAGUCAUAAAAGAGACUUUUCGACUCCACCCUCCCGCUCCACUCUUGUUGCCACGCCAACCAGAGACGACAGUCAAAAUAGCAGGUUGCACAAUACCUAAAGGUUCACGCGUGUUCAUCAACGUAUGGGCGAUAGGUCGAGAUAAAGAUGUAUGGAUUGAACCUGAGAAGUUUAUGCCGGAGAGGUUCUUGGGUUCCACGAUUGAUUUUCGGGGUGUGGAUUUUGAGCUCCUUCCAUUUGGUGCUGGGCGUCGGCUCUGCCCUGGAAUGGCAUUGGCAAUUAGGAUGGUGCAUGUGAUGCUCGCUUCAUUGUUAAAUCAAUUUAAAUGGAGUCUCCCUGUUGAGCUGGAACGGGAUGGGAUUAAUAUGGAAGAUCAGUUUGGCCUGACACUAGCAAAGGUCGUGCCCCUUUGUAUUAUAGCAACACCCAUUUGA